UAUAUAACGUGUCAAAAGACGAUAAAGC
This 28-nucleotide non-coding RNA is filed under the name Bombyx mori (domestic silkworm). Lineage: Eukaryota; Metazoa; Arthropoda; Insecta; Lepidoptera; Bombycidae. The record is from RNAcentral.